RNAcentral lists this ribosomal RNA (695 nucleotides) under beta proteobacterium IMCC14670. RNAcentral describes it as "bacterial SSU rRNA". It matches the Rfam family "Bacterial small subunit ribosomal RNA", at positions 28 to 715 of the family's 1533-position model. The record is from RNAcentral. Lineage: Bacteria; Pseudomonadati; Pseudomonadota; Betaproteobacteria.
AUUGACGCUGGCGGAAUGCUUUACACAUGCAAGUCGAACGGCAGCAUAGAGAGCUUGCUCUCUGAUGGCGAGUGGCGAACGGGUGAGUAAUAUAUCGGAACGUGCCUAGUAAUGGGGAAUAACUAGCUGAAAGGUUAGCUAAUGCCGCAUACGACCUACGGGUGAAAGCAGGGGAUCUUCGGACCUUGCGUUAUUAGAGCGGCCGAUAUCUGAUUAGCUUGUUGGUGGGGUAAUGGCCUACCAAGGCGACGAUCAGUAGCUGGUCUGAGAGGACGAUCAGCCACACUGGAACUGAGACACGGUCCAGACUCCUACGGGAGGCAGCAGUGGGGAAUUUUGGACAAUGGGGGCAACCCUGAUCCAGCCAUUCCGCGUGAGUGAAGAAGGCCUUCGGGUUGUAAAGCUCUUUCGCAAGAGAAGAAAACUUGCUAUCUAAUAAAUAGUAAGUAUGACGGUAUCUUGACAAGAAGCACCGGCUAACUACGUGCCAGCAGCCGCGGUAAUACGUAGGGUGCAAGCGUUAAUCGGAAUUACUGGGCGUAAAGCGUGCGCAGGCAGUUUUAUAAGUCAGAUGUGAAAUCCCCGAGCUCAACUUGGGAACUGCGUUUGAAACUGUAAGACUAGAGUGUGUCAGAGGGGGGUAGAAUUCCAAGUGUAGCAGUGAAAUGCGUAGAGAUUUGGAGGAAUACCAAUGG